ACGAACGCUGGCGGCAUGCCUAACACAUGCAAGUCGAACGAGACCUUCGGGUCUAGUGGCGCACGGGUGCGUAACGCGUGGGAACCUGCCCUUAGGUUCGGAAUAACUCCCCGAAAGGGGUGCUAAUACCGGAUAAUGUCUUCGGACCAAAGAUUUAUCGCCUUUGGAUGGGCCCGCGUUGGAUUAGCUAGUUGGUAGGGUAAAAGCCUACCAAGGCGACGAUCCAUAGCUGGUCUGAGAGGAUGAUCAGCCACACUGGGACUGAGACACGGCCCAGACUCCUACGGGAGGCAGCAGUGGGGAAUAUUGGACAAUGGGCGAAAGCCUGAUCCAGCAAUGCCGCGUGAGUGAUGAAGGCCUUAGGGUUGUAAAGCUCUUUUACCCGGGAUGAUAAUGACAGUACCAGGAGAAUAAGCUCCGGCUAACUCCGUG
This 432-nucleotide ribosomal RNA is filed under the name uncultured bacterium. RNAcentral's name for it is "partial 16S ribosomal RNA". It matches the Rfam family "Bacterial small subunit ribosomal RNA", at positions 29 to 507 of the family's 1533-position model. The record is from RNAcentral.